Molecule: ribosomal RNA, 253 nt
Filed under: uncultured bacterium
Lineage: Bacteria
Description: partial 16S ribosomal RNA
Rfam family: Bacterial small subunit ribosomal RNA
Source: RNAcentral
UACGUAGGGUGCAAGCGUUGUCCGGAAUUAUUGGGCGUAAAGAGCUCGUAGGCGGUUUGUUGCGUCGGCUGUGAAAUCCCGAGGCUCAACCUCGGGUCUGCAGUCGAUACGAGCAAACUAGAGUGUUGCAGGGGAGAAUGGAAUUCCUGGUGUAGCGGUGAAAUGCGCAGAUAUCAGGAAGAACACCCGUGGCUAAGGCGGUUCUCUAGUACGGUACUGACGCUGAGACGCGAAAGCGUGGGGAGCGAACAGG